UGGGGAAUUUUGGACAUUGGGGGAAACCCUGAUCCAGCCAUCCCGCGUGUGCGAUGAAGGCCUUCGGGUUGUAAAGCACUUUUGGCAGGAAAGAAACGUCAUGGGUUAAUACCCCGUGAAACUGACGGUACCUGCAGAAUAAGCACCGGCUAACUACGUGCCAGCAGCCGCGGUAAUACGUAGGGUGCAAGCGUUAAUCGGAAUUACUGGGCGUAAAGCGUGCGCAGGCGGUUCGGAAAGAAAGAUGUGAAAUCCCAGAGCUCAACUUUGGAACUGCAUUUUUAACUACCGGGCUAGAGUGUGUCAGAGGGAGGUGGAAUUCCGCGUGUAGCAGUGAAAUGCGUAGAUAUGCGGAGGAACACCGAUGGCGAAGGCAGCCUCCUGGGAUAACACUGACGCUCAUGCACGAAAGCGUGGGGAGCAAACAGG
RNAcentral lists this ribosomal RNA (429 nucleotides) under Acidobacteriota bacterium. RNAcentral's name for it is "Acidobacteria bacterium partial 16S ribosomal RNA". It matches the Rfam family "Bacterial small subunit ribosomal RNA", at positions 355 to 776 of the family's 1533-position model. The record is from RNAcentral. Lineage: Bacteria; Pseudomonadati; Acidobacteriota.